Molecule: ribosomal RNA, 465 nt
Filed under: Vreelandella stevensii
Lineage: Bacteria; Pseudomonadati; Pseudomonadota; Gammaproteobacteria; Oceanospirillales; Halomonadaceae
Description: partial 16S ribosomal RNA
Rfam family: Bacterial small subunit ribosomal RNA
Source: RNAcentral
CCUACGGGUGGCAGCAGUGGGGGAUAUUGGACAAUGGGGGGAACCCUGAUCCAGCCAUGCCGCGUGUGUGAAGAAGGCCCUCGGGUUGUAAAGCACUUUCAGUGAGGAAGAACGCCUGGUGGUUAAUACCCAUCAGGAAAGACAUCACUCACAGAAGAAGCACCGGCUAACUCCGUGCCAGCAGCCGCGGUAAUACGGAGGGUGCGAGCGUUAAUCGGAAUUACUGGGCGUAAAGCGCGCGUAGGUGGCUUGAUAAGCCGGUUGUGAAAGCCCCGGGCUCAACCUGGGAACGGCAUCCGGAACUGUCAAGCUAGAGUGCAGGAGAGGAAGGUAGAAUUCCCGGUGUAGCGGUGAAAUGCGUAGAGAUCGGGAGGAAUACCAGUGGCGAAGGCGGCCUUCUGGACUGACACUGACACUGAGGUGCGAAAGCGUGGGUAGCAAACAGGAUUAGAUACCCGUGUAGUC